This 31980-nucleotide long non-coding RNA is filed under the name Capsicum annuum. RNAcentral's name for it is "long non-coding RNA (CANN_LNC000135)". The record is from RNAcentral. Lineage: Eukaryota; Viridiplantae; Streptophyta; Magnoliopsida; Solanales; Solanaceae.
GUGGUGGGAAUCCUCCUCCAGGAGGAUUUGUUAUUGGUGGAAAAAUUCCGGGAGGGUUUAUUAUUGGUGGAAGAAUGCCAGGUGGCCUUGUGAUUGGUGGUAGGAUGCCAGGUGGCCUAGUGAUUGGAGGGAUUACAACAGGAGGAUUAACUAUAGGUGGUAAAACUCCAGGUGGCGGUCUAGUCACUGGGGGUGAAAUGCCAGGUGGACGAGUGAUCGGAGGCGAAACGCCAGGUGGACGAGUGAUCGGAGGUGAUACGACAGGUGGAGGAAAGACGAUAGGUGGCAAAACCUUAGGAGGUGGCGGUUUGGUGGUUGGUGGAUGAGGACGGGGAGUCGAUGGUGGAGGGUGGGGUCUACCGGGAGCCUUAGGUGGAUGAGGGUGAUGAUGACCUGGAGAUUUUGGAGGAUGUGGAGGACGCGGAGUAGUGCCAGGUGGACUAGGUCGUUGGUAAGGUGGAUAAGGAGGAGUACAUGGGCAUUGACCAGAUGAAGCAUAAGCUGGUGGUAACAAACAUAUUGACAUGAAAAUCAUACACAUGUAGAACAUUGCUGAAAUCUUUGAUGAACCCAUAAUGCCUCCUCCAAUUUUCUUCUUCUUUUGGGGUUCUAAAAGUGUGGAUGCAUUAUAAAAAAAAACUUUUAUGUUCUUGAUUUUUCUUGUACACUAUAGUUUAUAUAGGUGAAUAUAUGUGUAACCCGUGAAGGGUUAUUACUUGAAAUUGAAGUGAGAGAGCAACACGUAGGUGGAGGAAUUCCAAAGUGAUAGGUGUUGCAAUUGAAAUGAAAACUUUGGAUCUAUGUUCUUUCAUUGCAAGUUGCAACCUUCAACAUCCAAUCCGUGAAUACUGAUUAAAUAGUCCGUGAAUAGUUGCUUUUAGUACUGUAUUUCACAAAGUGUUCAUUUUGCACAGAUUUUAAGGCACUUCAUGUACUGUGCAUUACAUAUUGUAUUCUGGAGUUUCUCCUAAUUUGUUUGGAUAUUGAAUCCUCCUACUAGAAUGCUAAGCUUGAAAGGGAAAUUAAAUCUGAUCUUCUUUUCUAUCGUUCUGAAAAUAAUUAUUUGGUACUUCACAUAACUGAAAAUACUAUGACAACAAAAUAUUUUUUGUUGUAUAUAUAAUAAUAAUAAAUAUUUUUUACACUAUCAAGUGUCCCAAAGAAUAUCUACUGAUAACUCUCGAUAUAACUUUAACUCUUCUUUAAUUUUAUAGACCAAAAACAUCGGCCACAAACGCCUGCAUUCUAUAAGUUACGCUGUAAUCUGAAAUAUUAGCAAAAAAUCUCAGUUUAAUUUGAUUGAAAUGUCUCUUUAGCUUGCUCUAAAAAAAAAAAUCAAACAGUAAAUAGUGAAGUAUUCGUCUUGUUCAUUUCACCAAGGCAUCAUGUGAACCUUUCUUGAGAUUCUUUCAACUUCGAGGUUUCAGUCUUUCAGACUGGAAAAGGGAGCAAAAGAAAAACUUUUAUUUUGGCCUCCACAGUCCACACCAAAGACGAAUAAGUAUGACGAAAAAAUUAUUGCAAUAAUUACCACUCGAUCUAUUGACUUUGAUAUUUAACACAUAUACUAUUAGUUUGUUUGUCUACUUUAACAACAAUAACAACAAAAAUAAAUAUUCAGUGUAAUUUCACAAGUAGAAUUCUCAAUCACAAAUAGAAUUUUGAGAGUUGAUCGGAUUUCGUUUAUCCAGACUACUUUACCCUAUCUUUGUGGAUAAAAGUUGUUUCCAAUCGACUCUUGAUUCAAGAAAAUCGUUUUUUGGGAUAGACUUGAACAACAUCAUAUACGAGUGAAAUAAGUCAUGAUGAGCAUAUUGAAGAAAAAAACACUGAGAGUAUAUAAUCAAUGUAUACACAUUACCUCUCCAAAAAUGAUUGAUAAGCUCAAUCAUCCAAAAAAGGAAAAGAUAUAUACACCUAUACAUAACCUCUUCCAUUAUAGGAAAGUAAAAUCAACUAAUAAAAAUAUUAGCCUUUGUUAAUUUUUUUUCUAUUGCCGAAUACUUGUUAUCUAUCUAGUUGAAAUGGCCCUUCGCCUCUUUUGAUAAUUAACCAAGAAACUGUCAUCCGAAUUGAUUUUGACUCUGUUUGCAUCAAGUUUAAUCCAGUUUAAUUCAUUCUUUCAAUGAUGUAUAUCACACAUCACUAACCAAGUAUACCUUCUAAUUAAUAGGAGUAUCGAUAAACUUAUCUAGCUGAGUUGGUUAGCUACUUAAAUUUUACAUUGUUAGUGAAGAUUAUUCGAUUUUCCACCUUGUAAUCCCUUUCCGUGUUUAUCCUUCCCCUUCCCCUUCCCCAAACCCCAAUAGGAAAAGAUAAAAAAAGAAGCUAAUAUUAAGUAUUGCUUUUCCACCAGAAAUGCUAUAAAUAACAAAGUUAAAUAAUCCAUAUUUUUACCUUUUUCUGAAAAGAGUUAGUUUUGAGUGUUCUAGGAAAAAACAAAGUUUAAUUAAUCACCAUUCACAUGUCUUAUUAGUCUUUACGCACCAUAUUCUUCGGUUUGAACUAAUCAAGAAUUACGUAUUAAACAACUCAUGACUUAUAUCUUUCUUUGGACUAUUUUUGUUGGAUAUGAACAAAUAUCUCAUAUAUAUUAGUAGUUAAAUAAAGGAAGUUGCAUAUAAUAUGCAGGAAAUAAUAUUUUUAAUGAUAUGGACGUAUAAUUAUUGCUGUUGUGUGACAUUUUUCGAUAAAAUCAUGUGUUAUUAGUUUGAAGAGAUACAAGUAAAGAGAUGACAGAACAAUAGUAUAGGCUCGAUUUACUCUCUUUAUUGGGUCAAUAGCUUUUUCCACUCUUACAGAUCUAACCUAUUUUUAUUUUGUCAAAAAAAAAAAGAAGUUAUUUUUAUUAUAUUGGGGUCUAUUAAGUUAUUCCCUUAGUCUAAAUUACAAUUUUUUUUGUGUCACAAAAUGUCCUCCCACUUUCAACAAUCAUGCUACUUUCAAGCAUUUCUGUGGUUAAGUUUGCUGCUGUUCCCACUUUAGUAGUUACUAUAUUUUUUAAGUGUACUUUCUUAACUUAUCAAAUCCAAGAAAGUAAGAAAUAUCCUCUUUCUCUUUCUCGUUGAGCCUAUCCCUUUUGAAAGACCAAUUUUCCUAGAGAAGACAUGCAUGCAUGACAUUCAUUGUUGACGUAUUAGCAGAGCGAGAAAUUCUAAUAAGAGAAUUCAAAAAGCUGGAAGAAUAUGUACCUAUGACCUAAAGUACGAGGAACUCAAACAAGAGAAUUCAAAAAGCUACAAGAAUAUCAUACGUGUGAUUUGUACCAAUGACCUAAAGUACGAGGAAUUCUAACAAGAGAAUUCAAAAAGCUGCAAGAAAAUCAUCAUACGCGUAAUUAAUUUAUAGAUGUAACCUAAAGUAGGUAAUUUUUGAGUCACAUUUGAUCAGAAUGUCGGACGAUAUAAUAAUAUCGAACUCCGAAACGAUAGUAUGUUAUGCACCAACGAUGAUAACCACAACUGGGAUAUGGCAAGGUGAUAAUCCUCUUGAUUAUUCAUUGCCACUUUUCAUAGUGCAAUUGACCUUGGUGGUGGUUGUCACUAGACUUCUCGUUUUCAUCUUGAAACCAAUUCGUCAACCUCGUGUUAUUGCUGAGAUUCUUGUAAGUAAUUUAUACAAUUCUCCAGAAUUUAAUUAUAUGAUCAUUCCUAUUUUCAUUUUCAUUAUUUGUCAAGCAUACGUCGUUUCAUAAGGGGGAAACCCUUGAUGUAAUCAAUCGUUGUGUGACCUGAGGUCGCAAAUUUAAGCAUAGUUGAUAACCUCUUGCGGAAACAUGAGGUGAAACUGCAUAUAGUAGACCUAAUAUGGUCCAACUUUUCCUCGUAGCCCAUGCACAACGCGAGAGCUUAAUUAGAGACCAUGUCUGCAUUUUAUAGUGCACUAAUUUAAUGGUUGUUAGGACAAUUACAAUUGUAUCUCUUAUUUCUUGUUGGAUAAAAUGAUCUAGAGUUGAGUAUCUUAUUGGUAAAGCAAAUUCGACUAUAAGAGGAGGACUGCUAUAAUCUUGUUAGCUUUGUUUUAUAAACUACUUGUAUAUUAAUAUUGUGCAAAAUGGUGGCAGGGUGGUGUAAUUUUAGGGCCAUCAGUAUUGGGAAGAAGUAACAAAUUUGCUGAAACAAUAUUUCCUCAGAGAAGUGUUAUGGUUCUUGAAACAAUGGCAAAUAUUGGCCUUCUUUACUUCCUUUUUCUAGUUGGAGUAGAAAUGGACAUUGCUGUGAUUCGUCAAAAUUGUUGCAUGAGAAAUCACAAAAUACCAAAGAAGGAACUUUCAUUCUCUUCCUUGGCCUCGCGCUUUCUGUUACUUCAUUUCCAGUUCUUGCUAGAAUCCUCGCGGAACUCAAACUUAUCAACACUGAAAUUGGGAAGCUCGCGAUGUCUGCUUCACUUAUUAAUGAUAUGUUGGCAUGGGUUGUCUUAGCUUUUGCUAUUGCCUUUACUGAGAAUAAAGACACGAGUUUGGCUUCUCUUUGGGUGAUCCUCUCAAGCAUUGCCUUUAUUUGCUUAUGCUUUUUUGUAGUUAAGCCAUUGAUUGGAAGGAGGAUUAAACAGACCCCAGAAGGCGAAUCGAUUAGUGAGUUCAAUGUAUGUCUCAUUCUCUCAGGGGUUAUGAUUGCUGGAUUCAUAACAGAUGUUAUUGGAACACAUUCUGUUUUUGGUGCUUUUGUCUUUGGUUUGAUUAUCCCUAGUGGUCCUCUUGGUUUGACCCUUAUAGAAAGGCUAGAGGACUUUGUUUCAGGGCUUUUGUUGCCCCUUUUUUUCGCCAUUAGUGGUCUCAAGACACAGGUUAGUGCUAUUGAUGGAGCAACAACAUGGGGAGUUUUAUUUGUUGUUAUAAUCCUGUCUUGUGCUGGCAAAGUAAUAGGUGUAGUCCUUGUAAGUUUUUUCUACCAAAUGCCGUUUUAUGAAGGCCUUUCUCUUGGUUUCCUCAUGAAUGCCAAAGGCCUUGUUGAGAUGAUUGUGCUCAAUGUUGGUAAAGACCAAAAGGUAAUGGUAAUUGUAACACAUACACUUUCAUCUAUUUCGUGGAAAAACCCUCUUACAGAAAUGCAUGGUAAGGCCGAGUACAGUAGACCCUUGUGGUCCGGCCUUUUCCCGGACUCUAUGCAUAGCGGGAGCUUAGUGCACCGGGAUGCCCUUUUUACUUUUAUCUAUUCGUCUUCACACAACUCAAAAGUACUAAAUACUUGUGUAAAUGCAGGUUCUUGAUGAAAAAUCUUUUGCUAUAAUGGUGAUUGUAGCAUUAGGCAUGACUGCAGUAAUCACCCCCAUUGUGACAAUGGUCUACAAACCAUCAAAAAAUUUCACCCCAUACAAGAGAAGAACAGUUCAAAAAAUAAAAUUGGAUAGGGAAUUUCGAGUAGUUGUCAGCAUCCACACCCCUAGAAUCGUUCCAACAGUUAUCAGUCUUCUUGAAUCUUCCUGUCCUACCAAGAAAUCACCAAUAUGCGUAUACGCCCUACACCUUGUCGAGCUCACUGGCCGUGCAUCUGGAAUGCUUAUUGUCCAUAACAUGAGAAAAUCAGGGAGGCCAGCUAUGAACAGGACACAAGCUCAAUCGGAUCACAUCAUCAAUGCAUUCGAGAACUUUGAGAAAAGCACAGGAUGUGUCUAUGUGCAGACUCUCACUGCCGUCUCCCCUUACUCCACUAUGCAUGAAGACAUUUGCGUCACAGCUGAGGAAAAACGUGUGGCGUUAAUCAUCGUCCCUUUUCACAAGCAACAAGCAGUUGAUGGUGGACUCGAAGCUACAAAUCCAGCAUUCCGAACAAUUAACCAGAAUGUAUUAGCAAAUGCACCUUGCUCCGUUGGAAUACUAGUUGACAGAGGCUUAAGUGGAUCUGCAAGGUCCACAAUGAACCAAGUUUCUCAUCAUGUCGCGGUGUUAUUCUUUGGAGGACCAGAUGAUCGCGAAGCAUUAGCCUAUGCUUGGAGAAUGAGUGAACACCCAAACGUUAAUUUAACUGUUAUGCGUUUCCUCCCUGGAGAAACCGUAAUUGAAACAGAAAGAUCAGACUCAACCAACAGCAGGAAGAAAAGCAGGAAUGACCAUAGUAUACUAACAGUUGAAACAGAACGCGAUAGGGAAAAACAGCUCGAUGAGGAAUAUGUAACACACUUCAGGAUGAAAACAGGUAAUGAUGAAUCAAUAGCUUACAUAGAAAGAGUAGUGAAUCAUGGAGAAGAAACAGUAGGAGCAAUAAGGACUAUAGAUAACUCACAUGACUUGUUCAUAGUUGGUAGAGGACAAGGCACUAUCUCCCCAUUAACAUCAGGGCUAACUGAUUGGAGCGAAUGCCCGGAGCUUGGUGCUAUUGGGGAUCUAUUAGCUUCUUCAGAUUUCGCGAUGACUGCUUCAGUAUUAGUGGUGCAACAAUACGUAGGAAUGGGUUCAGGGGAUCCCUUAGCCAUUCCGGAUAGUCCUAGCCAGCAUUCCGAACACGUCAACAUUGAACAAACGAAUCGUAGGUCACAUAGCAGCUAUACGUCACAAAGCAGCUAUAGAGAACAACUACAACAACAACGACAACCUGAUUUUCAUUCACAACAUUGAAAACUUGGUAGGAUUCUUGUCCAUAUCAAUUAUUUUUUUUUGUUAACUAUUCUUGAAUUUUGUUACUUGUAAAAUGUAAAGUUCUUUUAUGCUUCCUACUCUCAACAUAUCAUUCAUACUUGAUGUAUAUGGUAUUCCAUUGAAAGAGUAAAGUGAAGAUAACGUAUGAAACAGUUUUAUUUUCCUUUGUUGCUUCUAUUGUUCUCUUGGUUCCAAUUUUAAACAUUACGAUUAUUAUGAAUGUCGGACUCUUAACUCCAAAGGUGAAACUAGAAUUUCUAGAAUAUGGAUGCGCUACUAAUGAAUGGCGAUAAACAACUUAGCAUUCAACCAAGUGCACCAUUCAAAUCCUUUCCCCGUGAGGGCACUAAUUCGAAGAAGAACAUUGUGUAGAUAAGAAAAGGAUACUAAUGAUAAUAAGCAAUUACAAAACUCAAUUGAUUUUCAUAUUUAUCAUGGAUAUUUUGUUUCAUUAGUAGUAAUGUAUAUAAUGAAUAAAUCACAACAACAAUCACCUUGACCUUGUCAACCUUGAUGAAAUAUUGCAAAACUAAACCAUCUUAUUUUUAUUUUUUUUGAAUUCUAAUCCAUCUUAUUCAACCUAUUACGUUGAAUUAUCUUUUCUAAACAAUGAGAAAUUUAGUGAAACAUAAACACCUUAGAUGAGUUUCUAAACGCUUGUUCACCACCUUACCAUAUUUAUACCUUGUCACAGUUCUUCACAUGAUUCAAGAUGGAGUUUUAAGUUUUGUGCACUGUGUACAAAUAUUCUAUACUAUCAGAUAAUUUGAUCUGCUAUUGUAAGUUACCCAAUUAUUUACAUAAAAAUUGAAAAAGGAAAAUUAGGUAACUUGCAAUAGCAAGUCAAAUUUACCUAAUAAUGUAGAAUAUUAUGAACACUGACAGUGCAUGAAACUUAAAUUCGGAUGGAUAUCAUACCCUAACCCCUUCCAAUAGAAGGUGUAUCCUCAGAUUCAAUUUGUUUGUUUAGUUUCGACUUGUCACGAAGUUAAAAAAAAAAAUAAAGAUGAUUUUUGAAUUUUGUGUUUUGAACUAAAGAUAUAGAACAUAUCGAAAUAUUCUUAAUCUUAUGUUUUAAACAUGACAUGUGAAAGGUUGGAAUUAAAUAGUUGUCAUAAUAAGAAAGUGAUAUUAUUUUUUAAAUGGAUUAUUAAGACCCAAAGUAAAACCAACAAAGUGAAAUUGAAAGGAGAGAGUGGCAAUCUUUGUGCAAGUAUUUUCAAUUUCAGAGUGUCCUCAACAUGUGACUUGUGGUAUAAUUGUAUGACAUCCUUCCUCAAUUGUUCAUCAAGCCCUACUAAUGGUCUUCCAUUAUUCCUCAGUUGAUCAUGUACAAAAGUGUACCCUUGAUAUCAGCUCUUCUAUUUCUGACUCAUGAAUUUUUCAUCCAUGCUCCAGUUUUAUUUUUUCAAUUCCAAGGUAUUACUAACAUGGAUUGUGUUGCAGUGGUAAGCCUCUUCGCCCUUAAUCAGGAGUCUCGGGUUUGAGUCCUGAAUAUUGAGAAAAUCCUGUUGGAAAUCUCACUUCAAGACUAGGCGUUACAGUGCUAUAUCCAAAUUAAUCGAAGCUCUAACGCAAAUACCGAUCGAACAGGGAAUAAAGAAAAACAUGUUAGUCUUGAUGGUGGCAAGUAGAGUUUCUUGAUGGUGGCAAGUAGAGUUAAUAUUGUCACAUGUAGCCUAGAGGCUAUUCAACACGAAAUAUUUUUCUUGUAGUCGAUCAUGUAUCAAAACAAAAAGGGUAAUGUUUCUUUUAUACAAGAUUUAUCACUUAAUUAAUAUUAUAUAGUAUUUAUGUUACCUUAGUUAAUCACUUAAUCUUGAUAAAUAAACAUACUUUAGUUUAUACACUAAAAAGGGCAGCCCCGUCAAAGCUACCCGAGUGCGAGUCUGAAAAGAGUCGACCACAAAAAUCUAUUGUAUACAAUUACUUUAGUUUAUAUAGUCCUAUAUAUGCUACUUUUUGUAAUUUUUCCUUUCUUUUUCCUACCGUAUACUGCAUUUCUGCAGAAGUAAAAACAGUAUUUUGGCUGUUUGUUUUUUCUUAAUUUUCCAGUACCCAAUAUCUACAUUAAUACCCAAUUAAAUAUGAAUUCAUACAUUACAUAGCCUUCUUUUAGGAAGGACUUUUCAACAAAAUCUUUUUUAUUGUCAGAGCUCAAAUGACGAAAUUCUGAUUAAACAUAAAGAGUGUCAAUCAUCCUAUCACGGCUAUAUAAGCAUACUGUGGCUGUUUUGGUUGGCGUUUACUUCAAAAAAGAUGCUACUAUAAUUUUAUCUUUAAUCAUCGACAAAACUCACAUGUGAACCUAAUCAAUUGGCAAACUUUUUGUCAUCAAGAUUUUUGUUUUUGUAUUCUUAAAUUUUUUGGCAUCUAAAUAAACUUUCAAGACAUUAUACUUAACUAAGAGUAUCUCUCAACAGCAUCUCACUCUAUUUUCAUUUGCGUUUAAGUUAUAUACAAUUAAAGUAUCCCAAUUAUUUGAAUUUCAUAUCUUAAUUGUUAGGUGUACGAAUUUUUUAUCUAAACUAUCACCAAUUAUCUAUCAAUCACUCCUUAAUUAUCAAUAGUUUACUUUUCCUACCUAAAUCAUGGUGAUAUUUCAGAUAGGAAAAGUAAACAAUUGAUAAUGAAUUGUAUUUGAUAAAUAUAUUUAGUGAUAGUUCGUGUAGAAGACUCACCACAGUUCAAGUAUGAAAAUGAAAAUCGGGUAUUUUACCUGUGAUUUUGACCCUUCAAUGUUAAAUAAUAAAAGGCUAAAAGUGCUUAAUCAGAUAUCGCAAGAAUUGAAAUUAAAAUUUAUUAAUAAUUGAGUGAUCAAAAUAUUAUCUAACUCGUGUAAAGAUUCUCACAUGUAAGACUCCUACAAACUAAAAACAGAAAUUAUAGAUAAAGUUAUCUGAUAAUAAAUAUUUAAGAAAAAAUUAUGCAGCCCAUAUAUAAAAAUAAAAGCCUCUUCCCUUAACCAUUAGUUAUAUUCUUUUUCCUAGCCCUAGACUUCUUACCAAUGUGAUGAAAUAGGGACAUUAAUUAAAAUUGUCAUGUAACGUUAUAGGUCGACAAACACUUGACAAUACUAAAUUGUGGUCCUAUAAUGCCAUAUGUUAUACGUGUUAAAAUUUAUGUAGUUGAAUCUAGAACAUCCAUAAAAUUGUGGUCUCCUUUACUAGCCAUGUGUCAUUUCCACAAAAGAUUAAGAUAAAUUGAACACAUAUGGAGUAGCUUUUUUACAUUUCUUAUCGAAACAAUUCACAGGAUAUUCACUAUGAUUUUUGUAAGAAGAAAAAUAAUUAUAUUCACUUGAUAGUUUGGGAACUAGUGAAAAUCGAAUGACAUUCUAAUGAUAAAUAAGAAAUAAAAGAGAUUGAGAAAGAUAAUGAUUCAAUGAGAGUUGAAGAAAAGACUAGAGGAAAGUCUUAAGAAGAUGAAAAUGUGUGGUGAGAUGGUUACGAUUCAUCGAUUUUCUAUUAGAAAUUUGAAUUUGAAUCUGAAAAUAAAUAGUUCCUUAACAAAAAAUGAUGAGGAAAUCAGAAAUUUUAUCAAGUGAAUUCAAAUAAGAAAUACAUUAAUAUAUAGAUUCUUUUAUGUAAAACGAAUUCAACAAGUUAUAUGUACAUUUAAAAAAAGACCUAUAUAAAUAAUUUUCCAGGAAUAAGGAGAUUUUAAUUGAAUCUCUUUCACUAGACAAUGAUUCAUUAUUGAUAGAGAACGCUUUAGUAUCUACUACCUAUCAUUAGGACCUUCUUGCUAUAAUUUAAUUAAUCUUGAAUUAGAAUUAUUUUGCAUUGGAAUAUUUUGAAUUUCAUCCUUCCAUGCUUCAUUUAGUCCAGUCCCUCCAUGCGACUAACAUUGCAAAUUAAUUCUUUUUACGACGCGAGAGAUGCUUCCUUAAUAGUUACUAUUUCGACAUUACGUAAUAAUUUUGACUUAAAUUUUAUAAAUGAAUACUUAAUUUGUCUAUUUAUUCAUGUCUCCAUCAUAUCAGGAGUUUAACUUACAUCGAUGGUGUAAUGCAAGUUUAGAACUAGAACUUUUAUUACCAACUGAUAGUUGAAAUAUGUCUUUUUCUCCCAUGUUUAGUUUGCAAGGUAAUUAGUUAGUCCAUUCCUUCAUGUAAACUAGCUUUUCAAAUUAAUUCUUUUUAUCACUCUAGAGGAGCUCCCAUAAUAGUCAUGAUUUAGAACUUAAUAAUUUUGAUUCAAAUUUAAUAGAUAAAUAAUUAAUAUGUGGAUUAAUUCAUGUCUUCGUCAUCUCAAGAAUUUAACUAACAUAGGUCGAUGAUGUAAUGAAUAUUUUAUAUUAUCAUAUCAUUCUUAUAUAUUGUAAUAUACAUAUUUGUCUUAUUUUCAGAAUUACAUAUCGCACUUUCAUGAAUGAUUGUUUGUAAUUAACUACAUUUUGCAUGACCUGAUACACUGAUGGUAUAAAUAUUUUCUUACAUUAUCGAUGUAUAUAUAACUUUAACUGCAAUAUCAAAGCAUGAUAUAUAUAAACUCGACAAAUAUAUGUCAUUUAUUACUCAUGAUGAUACAACAAUAAGAAAGGCAAACAACUAGCUAGCCUUCCUUCUAAAUAUACUGAAUAAACUACAUAUAAUAAUUACUCCUUUGAAAAUAAACAACUAUAUAAACGUACAAAACACCAAAACACACACUGAAACAAAAUACAAAAUACUAUAUAUGAAAGUGGAAAUGUAGCUAGCUUGAUAAAUUAUGCACAUUGAAAGUUCUUGGGAACAUAUUUGCCACAAUUGUUGAGCAACAAGCUGAGGGAAAGUGGAACAUUGAGAUUAAUUCCCAACACAUUGCCUUUAAUGGCAGUGCAAAGACAAACAGCAGCAUCAACAUCAGCAAGUCCUUUAAUUAAAGAGCAACAUUUAGUCUUGGCUGGGCUACUUCCAAUGACAAGGUGCACUAAGUCAUUUAACAAACUGGCACAAGCUUUUAGCUUAAGUGUAUUCUUUGGGCACUUUCCCUUUGAUGAUGGGUUGGAUGGGGAAGAGGGGGUGGAGGGGGUAGGGGUAGGGGUAGGGUUGGAGGGUGGUGGGCAUGGGACAUAAGUGGAACUAACCAUAGUGAAAAAGAGAAUGUUCAAUGUGAGGAGAAGAGCAAUGGAGGCAAACUUAGCCAUUUUUUUAAAAACUAGCACUCUCAACAAAUGAAUGUGGCUAUUAGUAGUGAAAAUGGUGUGUGUUUUGGUGUUUGAAAUGAUGAAAUGAGAGGGUAUUUAUAGAUAAAAAUGAUCGAUUUUUUUGGCUAUUUUUUGUCAAUUUUUUGAAAACAAUGAAGAAAAUUGAGUGGCCCGUGUGGGCUAUCGCACAUUUGCACUACAAUUGUAAGAGAAUAUCAAGGCAACACAACUUAAGAUAAGACUAUUAUAGAAAUGGUGGGGAUGAUUGGGAUUCCGCUUUUAAUCAAAGAUCUCGAAUUUGAGUUUUGAAAAUAAUUAAAAAAAAACUUAUUGGGAGUGCCGUCUCAAGUGAUGAAAUCUACAAUAUGCAAAUUUAAAUUUAAUUGGGUUGUAAUACAAAUAUACAUAUGAAUUUUAAACAAAGAGAUAAGACUAUUACGAAUUUUAAGCUUGGAAUUGUAUGAAUUUAGUUAAUCUUUUAUUAUUUAUCUCUUGAAUUAAUAUACACAUUUAACCUUCCAUUUUCACGUGGGACUUGCAUUAUUCCGCUUAACAGAGGUAAAUCCAGGAUUUGAAGAGAGGGGUGCACCAUUAUUUUUAACAGAGUCAUGUCGACUAUCAACUACAUAAUUUGACAUGCAAAUUUUUUAAACUUAAAAAUUAUAAAAAAAAUUAUGGGCAAAGUAUAAACUUCAAAAUGAUCAAAUGAUAUUAAUUUAGUACUAAUACAACAGAAGUAGACCAUCCUUUCAUACUAGACAUCGACGCGUUUUCAUAUUCUGAAAACUGUCAAUGAUUGCAUCAUUGCUUAUAUUUACAAAUAUAUCCUUCUCAAUGUAACAAACUAAACAAUCCCUUAAAAAUGCAUCACCAAUACUGCUACGCAAUUUAUUCUUGAUAUGCUUCAUGGAUGAGAAAGCUCUCUCUACAGUUGCAGUAGCGACUGGUAAAAUCAACGUCAACUUCACAAGUAAAUACACAAGAGAAUAAGUCAUCACAAGAUUUGCAUUAACCAAUGCUUCUGCCAAAUCACCAAUUCCUUUCAAAUUAGAGAAUAUAUGAUCAACACGUCCCAUGUGUAUAUUGAAAGUAUCAAGUUGGUAAUUAAGCUCUCGAAACUUUGAUUCACCAAAUUCAUCCAGAUAAUGUUUGACCAAUAUCAUUAUUUUUUCCUUAUCAAAAUUAGCAAGAACAUUAGCUGGAUUCAAGCUUGCCAUACCAAGGAGCAAGUUACCACUCACAACAUCAAAGCGAUUAUUAAGCUCUUGAAGUUGCAAGUCAAUUAUAGCAUAAAAGAGCUCAACACGUAAGUGAUGUGAGUAAGUAACACUAGAAGACCUACUCUUUGACUUUUUGAAAAGAUAAAACUCAUCCAUCUUAGGCAUCAAGAUUUCAUGUUUAUCACAAAAUACACAAACUUCAUUCAUUAGAGAAUCUCAUCUAUCAUCUCUCAACAAUUGUAAUCUUUUCUUAGUAAUGUCAAGAAAUGUCAUGGCAUUGACAAUAUGUUGCUCUUUCCUUUGUAAUAAUGCACUUAGCUCAUUGGACAUCACCAAUAUCUUCAACAUCAAGUGAAGCAAGAAAGAAAAUUCAAAUUCAUUGAUCAUAGUCAAAAAAAUCCCGGCUUGUAAUCUAUCAUUGGGAUUUGAGCCUCCACAUUUAAUCGCAUCAAGCACAUGAGCUAUAGAUGAAAGUAAAAUAAUAAAUUUAUCCAGUGUUCUAAAAUGUGAAACCCUACGAGUGUCACCUGGCCUUUGAAGUCCUUGUUCUUGAUUUAAUCCUUUUCCACUUUGAACUUCACCACUUUCUAGGAGUUGCUCCAACAUUUCUGCUUGAUGGUCUCGAAGUUGAUCUCUGCGCUUAAAGGAUGCUCCUACCACAUUCAACACAUUAAUAAUAACAUCAAAAAAUUCAUCUACGAGCAAAUAUUUUUUAGCAACGGCUACAAGUAUCAAUUACAAUUGGUGAGCAAAACAAUGAAUACAAUAUGCCGAUGGAGUUUCCUACAAAAUCAAAGCUUUAAGACCGUUCAUUUCUCCCUACAUGUUACUAGCCCCAUCAUAGCCUUGUCCUCAUAUUUUAGAUGUACUUAAAGAGUGUCUCAUAAGAAAAGAGCAUAUUGUUUCCUUCAACAUUUUUGUCGAUGUAUCACCAACACGAACAAUAGAAAUAACUCACUCAUUCACUUUACCUUUUUUGGUAACAUACCUUAAUGCAACGGCCAUUUGUUCAUUGUGUGAUAUGUCUUUGGAUUCAUCAACUAAAUCCCUAAAAAAUCUCCAUUCAAGUCAUCAAUUAUAGCUUUCACGGUUUCUUGAGCACAAGCACUCACAAUAUCCUUUAAAAUUUUUGAAGAAGUCAUUAUAGCAUUUUUUGAAGCAUGUUUUAAAAUAACAUUGUUCAAAUCAGGAAGUAUUUUUUCUAGCCAUUUCAAAAGACCUAGAAAAAGGCCUUUAUUUUGGAAAGAUUCACUUUCAUCGUGACCUCGAAAAGAUAAUCCGAAUUUCAAAAGGAACUUUGCCACGUUAGUUGAAGCCUCUAAACGAAUACGAUGCACACUUCUUAUUUUUUUCAGAUUGCUUGUUCAAAGCAACUUGAAUUGAUUGAGAUUGAUUCUCAAAAUUUAGCAUAUUACUGAAAUAUCUUCUAUGGACGCUUUUUACUUCACCAACAUGUAAUUGAAAUCGCUUCAAACUAUGAUUCCAAGUCUUAAAGUCGAUUUUUGUGAAAAAAUCACCUGCAUUUCCCUUUACAUAGUCAUUUUUUGAAUAAAUAGCAACACAAACGAAACACAGCAUCUUUCUUCACACUAUGCUCCAUCCACCUAGAAUAUGAAUCUUCAUACCACGUCGAAUUAAAUCGACGCAUUUUUGUUCCAAUUCUAGUUUGAGGAAAGUGAGAAAGAAUCGGUUGACAAGGCCCUUGUUGAAUAUAGUGCCUUCUCACUUGAUCUCGUAUUGUAGAGUCACAUUCAUGAAUUGGUUUUCUUUCUCCGGAAUCAAAUUUUAGUGAAUUCACAUCAAACUCUUCUAUAAGAGGAUAAGAAUUGUCUUUAAAACUAGAGCUUGGUUGAGGAGAAUAAUAUCUAUCCAUUUCAAUUCACAAGAAUCAAUAACAAAUUCUUACAAAAUAAAAAAUUCAUCGAGAAUAUAAAUAAAAUUAAUUAUUUAUUUUUAAUCAAAGUCCAUGAACUUAAAUAGAAGCAAGAAAAAAAUAUAAAUAAAUUUUGCACACUAACUUUCUAGCAACAAAUAGAUAUUAAAAGCAUUUAUGAUUUAACAUUAUCCAAACUUAAAUUAAAAAAAUAAAAAAAUAAAAGGAAGAGAUGUAUACCUGUUAGCAUCAAAUGAAGAAUUGAAAUUGCUCCUUGUUACCUUGUUUGGCUUUUGGAAGAAUUUGGAAAAUACCGAAUAGAGCUUGAAAUUUAGGAAAAAUUACGGGGCUUGGGACUGGGAAAUAUGUAUUACCUAGAUAUAUUAAUUAAGGGUAGUGUGGGGCCAGCUGAGGUGGUUGCCUGGCUGGUGGUAAUUAAAUGUUAAGUAAAUGAAACAAAAGGCAUCCAUCAGGAUUCGAACUUGUAACGUUGGGACUCGAUGGAUGCUAACAUUUGAGUUCCGAACUAGUGCACCCAGACAUGUUUUGCUAUUAAGGGUGCACAAUUAAAUAUAUUAACAAUUUAGUAGGAUAUCUAUACAUAUAUAUACGAUUUUAAAAAAAAAAAGUUACCGGGUGCACGUGCACCCUCGCGGAAUCACGUGGUCCGCCUCUAAUUGGAGCCUGAUUAAAUUUGAAUUUCCGUCGAAAAGUUUCACAUUGGAGGGUAAAACGCUUUCUAACAAACGCAACUUCGUAUUAUGUUAGACUCAAACCCGAGACUUCUGGUUAAGGUUGAAGGAGUAUUUAUCACUCUACCACAAAUCUUUAUUUAUUUAGGUACAAUACGCCACUCUUUUCUUAUUAUUUCGUUUAAAAAAAUGACACCAUUUUAAUAUUUUAAAACAAUUAACUUUUAAAAGUUUUUAUUUUACCUUUAUUAGCUUGCUUUAAUGAUAUAAUAUUCAUGCCAUAUUUAAAUUUAUAAGUUUCAAAAAAAAUAGUUUCUUUUCUUCUUAAUUAAACUCCAUCUAACUCUACGGUGAAAUAUUGCAAUAUAAACUAAAACAAAUAAAGUAAUACUAUAUUCUUAACGUUUAUAGGAUAUUCUUUUCUUCUAUAGUAUUACAGAGAAUAAAAAAAUACAAAAGGAGAAGAAGAAAGAAAACAUUGUGAUGAUAAAAAUCUGAAGCUAAAUAGAAUUUGUGUGCUAUCAGCUAAGAGAGAAGAGAGAAAGAGAGAGAAAGAGAGGAAAUUGAUUCCCUAACUCAUGCUGAGCAAAACAAUAACCGUCUCUGUAUUGAACUGUAUAGAAUGAAUAUAUUCUUCUCUUUUAGAUGCAUGCUACAUUAUUGAUAGUUGUACAUCACUAACUAAUCAGCUAAUUAGUCUAAUUAGUUUAAUCUAUAUUAACUAACUCUUGUGCCAACCGUACAAUGCAAAGAGUCAAUUGUACAAUGCAAUUAAGUCACUAUUUUUGUUUCAUUACUCCUCCUUAAGCUGGAAAGUAUGAACACAUCCAAAACACCCAGCUUUAAAAUCAAAUAUUCAUGUUGUGAUCUAAUCAACCCUUUUUUCAAAAUAUCUACUUGUUGCUCAUGUGUUCUUAAGAAUAAUGGUUUAAUCAAUCCCAUUUGGAUCUUCUCCAUAAUGAAGUGACAAUCUAUUUUGAUGUGCUUUGUUCUCUCAUGAUAUACCGAGUUUGUUGCAAUUUGUAAGACUUCCUUAUUGUCACAAUAUAGUUCUACUGGCAUUUCCAGGUCUUCUCCUAAUUCUUUGUACAAUCCUGUAAUUCACACUAUCUCUGAGAUUUUAGAAGCCAUGCUCCUGUAUUCUGACUCUGUUGAGCUUCUUGAAAUGGUUGUUUGUUUCUUGGACUUCCAAGAUAUCAGAGAAUCACCAUGUUUAACUAGGAAACCUGUCAAUGAUCUCCUAGUGUUUGGGCAUGCUGCCCAAUCAGCAUCACAAUAUGUUGUCAGCUUGUUUUAUUUCCUACUACUCAUCAAUAUUCCCAUUUCAGGUUGCCUCCUUAUGUAUCUCACCACUCUUAGUGUUGCUUCCAUGUGAAAUCUCUUUGGUGCUUGCAAAAACUGACUUAGUGUUUGCACUGUAAAAUAUAUGUCUGGUCUUGUUAGAGUUAGGUAAAGCAAUCUACCAAUCUAUCUCUGAUAUGAUCUCAUAUCUUCCAAUACUGGAUCAUCUUUUACCCCAGCUAUUUCAUCCAUUUCUCUAUUAGUUAGUCUCGUAUUGUUGUCCAGUGGUGUCCAGGAGGGCUUUGCUCCAGUAAGACCAACUUUCUCUAUCAUUUCUAGAGCAUGUUUUCUUUGAUUCAUCAAUAUUCCUUUAGUAGAGCUGCUAAAUUCUAUCCCUAGAAAGUACUUUAAAGUUCCUAGGUCUUUAAUCUUGAACUUAGCAUGCAACUUUUGCUUGGUCUGCUCAAUUAACUUUAAGUCAUUCCCUACUAUCAUCAUGUCAUCAACAUAAACUAGAAUGAUUACAAUUUUCUCAUUGUGUCUUCUUAUGAAUAAUGAGUGGUCUAGUUUUCUCUGCAAGAAUCCUGAAGCAAUCAGUGCAUCUGUAAGUUUCACAUUCCAUUGUCUGCUUGCCUGUUUAAAAUCAUACAAGGAUUUAACUAGCCUACAAAUCAGUCCAUAAGACUCCGUCUGACUAGAAAAUCCUUCAGGCAGGGUCAUGUAAACUUCAUCAAAGAGAUCACCUUGAAGAAAGGCAUUAUACACAUCCAUUUGAUGGAUAUGCCAUCCUGAAGCAACAGCAAUUGACAAUACACUUCUGACAGCAACAAUUUUCAUCACAAGUGGAAAGGUAUCUUGGUAAUCAAGACCCUCUCUGGUUAUAACCUUUAGCCACCAAUCUAGCCGUGUAUCUUUCUACUUCACCCACCAAUAGGAUGUUUUCCUGGAGGCAGGAGAUCUAACUUCCAAGAUUGGCUUCAAGUGCAAGAAUUUCUUCUUGCAUUGCCUUGAUCCACUUAGGAUCAGAACAAGCUUCCUUAUAUGUCUUGGGUUCAGUAACACAAGAAAAAACAGCCAAAUAGUAUUGAUAAGUAGGUGAAAGAUGAGCAUGACUUAACACCUGAGAAAGUGAAUAUAGAGUGCUUACAGAAGCAUUAUUGGAGAUGUAAUCAGUCAUCCAAGUAGGCUACUUCUUGGAUUUUGUGGACUGUCUAGGAACAACCUCAACAGGCACAUUAAUAGCUACAGGAAGUGUGUCAUCAGCAUCAACUGACAUGGUGUUGCAUGCAAGUGGUCAACAGUUGCAUCAUGAUCAGCUUUAAUAGGAGAAUGAGGUAAUAUUUCAUCAACCUAUAUUGAGUCUUGAGAGAUUGGAAUAAAAUGAUCAAUAGAGAAGUCCAAAAAUAUAGGAGUAGGAAGAGACUUAGUUUGAAAAGGAAAAACAUUUUCCUUAAACAAAACAUCUCUCGACAAAAAAAAAAAGAGUGAGUAACUAAGUUAUAUAGAACAUAGCCUUUAGUUACUGCAGAGUACCCCAUAUGAACAGUAGGGAUUGCUCUUGCAUCAAACUUAUUCCCUGGAAGAAGCUUCUUGACAAAGCACAAGCAACCUAAUACUCUUAAAUGAGUGAGAGUAGGGAUAUAACCAUGGAAAACUUCAAAAGGAGUCUUUCCCUCCAAAGCAGAAGAAGGUAAUUUGUUCAUCAUGUAUACAGCUUCCAAAAUACAAUGUCCCCAGAACUUAAGAGGUAUUGAACCCUGAAAUAUGAUUGAUCUGGCUAUCUCCAAAAUAUAUUUGUGCUUUCUCUCCACGACUCCAUUUUACUGUGGAGUGUAAGCACAGGUUCUUUAAUGCAUUAUCACAUAGGUGGAGAAUAAGAUAUGACAAUGUGCGUUCACAAAUUUAGUCUCAUUAUCUGACCUAACCAUCUUUAUAGUUUUGUAAAACUGAGUUUGCACCAAUUGAAUAAAGUUCUUCAAAAUCAUGAAAACAUUACUUUUUAAUUUACGAAGAUAAACCCAAGUCAUUCGAGAAUGAUCGUCAAUAAUUGUCAGGAACAAUCUAUAACCAUCAAAUGUUUGAAUAUGAAAAGGGCCCCAGACAUCCAAAUAAAGUAAAUCAAAAACAGCUGCAGACUUAGUUUCAUUAAGGAAAAAUGGCAUCCCAGUAUGUUUAGCAAGAGGACAUAUAUCACAUGUAUCUAAAACAAGUUUACAAUCAUCAAAAGUAACACCAAAAAGUUUCUGCAUGGCUCCAAUAGAUACAUGUCCCAUUCUCUUAUGCCACAACAGUAUAUCCACUUUAUUUUUUAUAGCAAUCAAUCCCUUAAUAGGUCGAGCAUGGUGUUGUUCUUUCACUUUGUGUUCAAGUAAGUAUAAUCCAUCCUUUUCCUUACAGUCGCCAACACUUUUUCAUUUGAGAGGUCCUAGAAUAUACAGGAAUCAGGAAGAAAUUUGAUUGAACAAUUCAACUCUUUGGUUAUCCUAGAGACUGGCAUCAAAUUAUACCUAAAAUCAUGUAUAUAUAAUACAUUUCUAAUGGUGUGAUCAUUCAACACCUCACAAGAACCAGUAUGAGACACAUGAGCCACUUCUCUAUUAGGUACGUGAACAUUUUUGUCACUAACACAUAUUUGUGUUGGUUUUAAUAACUCAAUAUUAGAGGAAAUAUGGUUUUCUGCGCCUAUAUCAAUUAUCCAUUGUCUUAUUAUCAUUUACACAAGAAGCAGAAGCAAUAUCUGUGUUUUCAACCUCUGUAACAUGAGAUACAAAAGAGUUACCUCCCAUGUUUUCUGCUUUUAAUAUAGACAGCUUGCUUAUGCUCGCUGAACUUUCUCCUACAUGUUCUUUCUCAAGAGAUUGCAUCACCUUAUUUCAGUAAUAAGGAUUCUCUAGCAUCUUCAUCAUUUUGUCAUAGUGAGGAUGAGUGUAAGAAGGCAUCUGUAAACCAUGAUGGCCAUCAUCACCAAUUGACACUUAUUUACCAUGUGUAUAAUCUGAAAAUCUAGUAGCCUCUUUCUUCACAUAGUAAGUUCUGCCUCUAGCAUCAUCUCCUCUCAUAUUGUAUGACUUAUUUCUAGGAUCUCUAUCUCUCAUGUUAAAAUAAGCACUAACUCCAUUCUUUCUUUUUGACUUGAAAUCAGAGGGAUUACUAUGAAGUUUGAAACAAUCAUCCAUAUUGUGACCAGUCAACUUAAAAUACUCACACUUAGAAUUUCAGUGAGGAUUCCUUUUAUACUUAUUAGAGGUGCUACUUUUGUUACUCAUUAAAGCAGUUAUCUCUGCAUUUUCAGAAGGUCCAAUGGUAUGAGCAAUCACUUUUUGGCUUUCCCUCUCAAUCAUCAUAGAGUAUGCUUGAUUGACAGAUGGAAUUGGGGCUAACAUAAGAAUUUGCCUUCGAGCUUGUUCAUAUGAGUCAUUGAGUUCCAUUAAAAACUGUAACAACUUUUGCCUUUUUACAAAUUCCACAAAUUCUCGUGACUUCUCUCAAUCACAACCUGGGAAUGGGGCUAAACAAUUAAAAUCUGCCCAAAGCAAGCUCAAUUUAAUAAAAUAUUCAGCAAUGCUACUAGUACCUUGAGAGGCAGUUGCGAUUUCACGGUGCAACUGAAAAAUCUGCGAUCCAUCAACUUUAUCGAAUCGCUCUUUAAGAUCAUUCCACACAUAGGAUGCAUUUGAAGAGUAUACAAUUCCACUCAACAAUUCCUUCGAAACACGGUUCAUGAUCCAUGAAAAGAAGAUUACAUUACGAUGCUCCUAUAGAUCAGCUAGAUUUGGAUCAAAACUUGCUCUUCUGCAUGUGCCAUUGAUGAAUCCCAACUUGUUUCUUCCAAGUAUUGCAAUCUUCAUCGUCGACUCCAGACAGAGUAGUUUUCAGAUCCUGUAAACUGUAUAGAAAUUAACAAUAUUCCUGAAGUAUCCGACUUAUUGAGAUACAAUGGAUGAUUGUGCUUCAAUUUUUCUGACAGAGUAUUAUCGACUUCCACCGUCAUUCCUGUCCUAAAUUGCUUCAAAUCAGCUUAUGCAGACCGUAUUAAUGACCUUAGGCUCUAAUACCAUGAAGCUAAAUAGAAUUUGUGUGCUAUCAGCUAAGAGAGAAGAUAGACAGUAAGAGAGAGAAAGAGAGGAAAUUGAUUCCCUAACUCAUGUUGAGCAAAACAAUAACCGUCUCUGUAUUGAACUGUAUAGAAUGAAUAUAUUCUUCUCCGUUAUAUACAUGCUACAUUAUUGACAGUUAUACAUCACUAACUAAUCAGCUAAUUAGUCUAAUCUAUAUUAACUAACUCUUGUGCCAACUGUACAAUGCAAUUAAGUCACAGCUUCUGUUUCAUUAAGAUCUCAAUUGAGAUAAAAGUUAAACUUUCCGAGUCCUUCCCAUAAUUAAUUUGAUGACGAUUCGUCAUUAGAAAGAAUGGGGAGAGAAUAUGUUUUGAUGCAUAAUAUAGGUAUAUAUGUUACUGGACAACAACAGACAGUUUGCUCGGAUAGUAAGCACCCCUUACUUCCAAUCCGAAGAUUGUAAGUUCGGAUUACUAAAAGAGCAAAAAGGAUGAAGCUCUUAAGAAGGGGUAAAAAUAAUGAUUUGAUGAUAAUAAAAAUAAGUACAGUUCAAUAUCUUUAAUUUGAGUGAUCUAGUUUUAUUUUGCUGACCAAAAACAGUCUAGUUUAAUUUAUCUUUAAUUACUUUUAAAAUGAUUUAAUGUGUACAAACUUUUUACACUAUCAAUGCAUAAAGAAUAAUGUCAAUACGGAAAACGAUGGAUCAUUUGCACGACCUAUCAAAUUUCCAAAAGAGACAAGGAGCCCUGACGCGUUAUUUAAGACUUUUUGUGAGCCUAUUGCAUAAAAAAUCUAUUCGUUGCGUGUCCAAUGAAUGGAUUGAAUUUGAAUUUUGAUCGAUUAAAAACUUAAAAUGGAGUAAUUUAAUAAGUGAGUGGGUGAUCAAGUGGAUUUCUAAACAACUAAUUGUUAAAUAUUGAGUUAAUUUAAUUUCAUAUAUUAAAUGAAAUUAAUUCUUAACAAGCUAAAACUGUUACAUAAAUUGAGAUGGAGACACUAAUAUAUAACACAUUUUUUAAAAUAAAAUAAAAUUAUAUGUUAAGCAAAAGGCCCACUACCCCAUGAAAUAAGUCGAAAAAAUGAAAAAUCUUUUUCGUAAGUCGUCUAAUGGUGCUCAAUUUAACAGCUUGUUUGGAUAGUUGUUAGCUAUUGUAUUAUUUCGUAUUGUGUUGUUGGUUUAAUUAUAAUAUGUAUUUUAAUUAUUUUUAAAAUUUUAUUAUACUAUAUUGUUAAAUUCAUCGUUGUGUAACGAUGAAAUUUUUCAUUUUAUAUAGCAAUUGAUGUGGUAUGAUCAUACCGUCAUUCUUUUCCACUCAUUGUAUUUUUGGUUAUUAUUUAAUAAUUGUGUUUCAUCCUUUAUUCUUAGCUUUUUUAUAAUAACUCUACAUGUAUCCUAUUCUUUUUUAUAGAUUUAUCCUUCAAACCAUUGAUAUGUCACGUUAUAUAAUAACAAAAAAGAUAUAAUUUACUCGAACGUUAUAUUCGUAAAAUAAUAAAAUACAACAAAAUAUGAUAUACACUAUGAAACCAAUCCUAACAAUCAUCCAGACCAAACUACAACACCAAUAACAUAUUCAUGGUGCAUGCAUAUGACCUACAAGUGAGAUAUUGAGAGAUUAUGACAUUCAUAAAUCUUAUUUAUCGUAUCUUUAUUUUAAUAAGCUAUUACAGAUAGACACUCGGCUGAAAAGAAAAGUUUUCAUAUGUGAAUUAGAAUAUGACUACGAAAAAAGGAAAAAUAGAAGCAAAAAGUAAGAAGUUCUAUGACAAAGACUUCAAAGUACAGCCAAUUACAUUGAGACCCCAUUACCAAAAUCAAACCGUAAGGAUCGGAUAACUGCAGACUUCAUUUUCAAUCCAAUUAAAUGGGGUCAUUUUGUUAUACAUAAUUAAUAAUUGUCGUGUAUACAUAUAUUGUUAAUAUCCAAAGUACUAUCAGUUAAAUAUAUAAAAAGGACAAAACUAAAAAGAGAGGGUAUUCUGUCAACUUUGAUGAACUUCUAGACACGUAUUGAGGCAUCUUAAUUAUGCAUGAAAACCAACAAACAGAUAUAGCAUAGUGAAUUCAUGUGGUUUACAUUUAAUAUUCAAUUAAAAAAACUAAAAAAAAUAACUAUUUUAUUUUAUUUAUUUAGUUUUGCAAUAAUUCUCAAGUCCGUGACUCAAAAGUCCAAAAUCCAUGUUUAUUUUAUUUAGAUUACGUAUUAUAAAAGAUAAUAAAUUGCUAACUUUAAGUUCAAAGAAAUCAUUUAAUCCUGGAUUAGGAGCUAAUUAAAGGGUCAUUUGGCAUAGCCGGAUUGGACAAAUUGCAAUUAUUGAAAUUCGAGAAUGAUGAACGUAUUGAUUUUUCAGACUGAUAUCUUGGUAAUUAGAAAAAUGAAGAAAACAAAAUUAAAAAGCCAAAAAUGUGCAUCCACAAUGACCCUAAUCAAGGGAUGUGCUUUCAAUUUACUUAUUUGGAUGGCUGUUACCUAUUGCAUUGUAUAAUGUUUUGUUUGAUUAUUAAUUAAAUCUUAUUGUAUCAUAAGGUUAAAUUCAUCGUCAGGUAACAAUAAAAGGUUCUAUUUUAUGUAGCGACCAAUUUGAGACCAUGGUCUCGUUACCUUAUUUCUUUUAUUUUGUCUUUGUUUAUUAUCCAAUAAUUUUACUUUAUUCUUUAUAUUACUUUUUUUUUAUAAUAGAUCUACCGGUACCCUACUUUUCUAAUAGUUUUAGCCUUCAAAUUGCUAUGUAACAUUAUGUAACGACGAGAGAAACAAUACAAUCAGUCUAAAUAUAAUAUUCAUCGUAAUAAUAUAGUACAUAUAAUAUGAUUAAUAUAUAUAAUAUAUUAUGAAACGAUAAGCAACCACAUUCCAACAAAGUAAGGUGGAAGCCCUAAACAGGGGAAGAAAAACCACACGUUCACUCCAAAAAAAUAAUAUUGCAACUUGCAACAAUGCGUUGGAAUUUAACGCGGAAUCCCAUUUGUUUGAAAACCAAAAGUCUUUUUUAUAUUUUGUUUUACAACUAAAAACAAAUUAAUGAAUGCAUCGACUGGGACUUUUGUAUCCUAAUGAGAUACUACUUGUGUAGCUCAAUUAAGGAAAUUAUUUAAGAUUUUGUAGACUUCGAUUCGAUGUGACAAGUAAACGGGGUAUGACCCUACCGACUGUUGGGUUCAGUCGAUUCAAAGAUAUUCUUACAUGAUGUGAUAUUGCAUGCUUGGUUCAAAUCUGUAUGGUGAUAUUCAAUGGCGGAGUUAGGAUUUCCAUUGAGGGGUUCAGUAGUAUAUAUACGAACUAGUCGAAGGGAGUUCAACAUCUACUAUAUAUGUAUAAAAAUAUUUUUAAUCAUGAAAAAUAGUAUAAUUUUUCGUCGAAGUGGGUUCAGAUUAAACCCCCUGGAGCAAAGGUGGCUCUGCCACUGGUGAUACCCAAAAUGCAUCACAUCGGGGAGGAGCCAAACUUUUGGUGCUCCAGCACUCAGUAAAUUCGACAUUAGGUAUAAUUAUAUAAAAAAUGUACAAAAUCUGAAAUAGGAUUUAAAAAAACACUCAGUAAACCAAGAAGAUAGCUAGGUGUUUUAGUUUUCAGGCGGAAUCUUAAAGCUUGGGACGUCAAUAUGCAUGUUCGAACCUUCCAUGCACCGACGAUCCCUAAAUUGUGGAUCCGCCACUGCAUCACACCAUUAAGAAAUCAUAUACUAUGUAAUAUUCGAAUCUUUUUAGCCACCAAUAUAAAACUUUUAUUAGCAAACCCAACACCAACUGCUUCAAAAUGGAAUAAUGCAGGUAGUAUAUCUCUGACAAACAUUAAUCUUAAAAGUAUGUUUCUAUUUAUUUUCAGAUAAUGGUAAUGGUUAUGUCAAUUUUAGCGCUUCGACUAUUUCAUUGUGCAUUUACUUUGACACUCAUCAGUAUGAUAUUUGAGCAAACUCUACUAACUAAAUUUUAGACAAAUUAAAUUAAGUGCAUGUUUUUUUUUAAAUCUCUAGUGUUUGAAUUCUUGGUUCCAACUUUCAAGGAUGAGGACACCUAUCUCAUUAUCACAAGCCACAUACUUAGCUGCAAUUUUAAAUCGAUUUUUGAAGAGCCUUUAUUACUACAAGAGAAGUUUUCUUAUUUUAGUUAUAUAAAUUUUAAUUUUACCUUGUUAGGUAGGUAAUUGAACCAUCACCAAUAUUGUAAAAGUUCACGUCUAAUAAGACUAUUCAGAUAGGAACCCUUCUACAGUUGAAGCUUGCCAACUUUUUUAAAAUGGUCGAACUGUCCAAAAGAUAAUGUAGGUAUUACACAAUUAACCUGGCGGUCAUAAUAGGUUAAACCCAAAUUAACCGUUAAAAUUAUAUAAAAAUAGCAUUUACUGAUCACUUUUUAACCCUAGUUUCGUAAGUAGUCACAAACUCCUGAAAAUGGGAGUUGUCCCUUACUUGUGGACCAAAUUGGGCCGAACGAGAUAUUCAACUACUUGUCAAGCCAGUUGAAAAGCCCAAUACAAAGUGCUCAAUGCUCCAACUAAAAGAUGAAAUAGAAGAUCUAGAAAUUACAUAUAUAUAUAUAUAUAUANNNNNNNNNNNNNNNNNNNNNNUAUAUAUAUAUAUAUAUAAGGUAACUUUAUUUUAUUACAUAAAAUCUCAUAUUGAAAAAUAAAUUUAAAAAAUCUCAAAUUAAUUACUUAAAUUCCUAACUUUUUUAUUUUCUCUCUCUUCCUUCUUAUACAUCCUAAAUAGCUCCAUAGUUUCCUCCUAAAAUCUUGCUAGCUACCUUAUCUCUCCAAUUAUUUAUCUGCAUUAAACCUCCUUACCCACAAAUUCCGAUCUACAAUAAUCUCUCAAAAAAAAAAAAAUCUUCUCCAUUUUCUCCGUCCAAAAUCAACAAAAUCUUUUCCGGCCAAAAUUAUCUUUUCUCCGGUCAAAAUCGACAGAAUUUUCUCCAUUUUCAUCAAAAAUUCAGAAAAAAAACUGCAAUUUCAUCCAAUAUAAGCUUCUCUGAAUUCGGGAAUAUAUGCUUCUUUGAAUUUCAUCAAAAACGAAUUAAGUUGAAUCUUCUCCAUUUAAUGGUCGUGUGUUAUUAUUUCCGUUGUUGAUUUUGUUCUUGGCUCUUUUGAUUAUGAAAAAACCAAUUUCGCAGAGAAUCAUUCGAAGCACCGAAACGAUCCAGUAACAAUGAAGAAAUUGAGGGAAGUUGCCGGUUCAAGUUCAAACAAGAAAGCUCUAAAAUCGUCAAGUAAGAAAAAGGUUGAUGAUUCUGGACGACCACGUCUGCCGAAGGUUUAGUUAUCAUUAAAAUAUGUAUUAGUAGCACUAUUCUAUGUAUAUAAUUUCAUUAUACAGUUGUUAAGAUUAUAUAGUGAAGUAUAUAAGGUGGCCGUAUACAUGUGAAACAGUGUUAGAUUAUAUUUAUUACUUGUAUAAGGUUUACACAUACAUGUGAAACUGCUGUAUGAGGUUGUCUUUUAUUUGUUUUGGCGGUACGAUUCUAUGUAUAAGAUUUCACAAUACAUGUAUUAAUACUAUAUUAUUAAUUGUAGAAGGUUUACACAAAUAUGUUUAAUAAUGAAAAAAUUUCAGAAAUAGCAACUAUAGAGUCUUAAUUGUAAGUUUUAUAGCAACCCUUUCAAAAUUACAAAAAAUAGCAAUAUGUAUUUUGUAUUUGAUUAAAUUGUUGCUAGUUAAAUGCAUAUACAAUUAAAGAUUCUGUUCCUAAUUUAACUCCAAUCUGUUUUAGUUUAAUAUGGGAAAAACGGUUCCUUAAUUUAAGGAACAUUUAAUUUGACAGAUUUCUUAACCGUUUACAAAUAUCUUUCUUUUAAUGACUCUAUUUUAACCACAACCAUUAUUUUACAGUAACAUAAUUCAAAAUUCAAAAACUUUUUUCAUAAUCUACAACUCAUAUCAAUUUUAAAAAAAAAAACGACUGCUUUCAAAAUUUAUGUGCAUCGUCUAAUGUUUUGAGAAGAGUUUGAUAAGACAACACUGCAAAUACAGGUAUCAAUAAACAAAUAUGAUUUUGUUUGUGAAUUUUCGGACUAUAUUUGUGAAAAUCGCUGAAAAAAUCGUAACAACAAUGGUUUGAUCAGUUUUCGAACAAAGUGGUUUGAUCGAUAAUUUCUUUUUACAAAUUAGAGUUUUUCAUCACGUUAUGUAGGUUGAAUAUUGAUAUACAAUUGUUAUUGUUUAUUUUGUAUUUUUUUCCGUUUCAAUUAAACAAUUUGUUCUUGUUGGAUUUCGUUUUGAAGUUUUGUAUAUAAUAAUAAGUUAUUGUGUCAAAGGGUUUGAACAUUGUAGACCUGUAAUAAUCGUUGAUGCAAAUCAUCUCAGAAAACUGUAUACUAGUACUUUUGUAACUACUUAUACCAUGGAUGGAAUCAUAAGUCCUUCUUAUAUAUGCAUUUAACAUUGCAUAUACUGCCAGCUAUAUGUAUUUGUAAAAUACAUAAGCAGUCUGUUUAUGUGAUCACUGGUAGUUACUUUUAUGUAUUUCAAUUUACAUAUGUUGCCAGCAAUAUGGAUUUCAAAAAUACAUAUGCACUCUGUUUUAAGUGUUUGAUUGCAUUUAUUUUUAAAAAAAAAUAAAAAUAUGAAGGCCUUAUAUUUCUAAAAAUACAUAUUGAGACAUGCAAUAUACAUAUGCAGAAUUGGUAAAAUACAAUUGCUAAAUUGGAACAAUUACAAAUGUCAAUGAAUAAUUGUUGUUAUAAUUUUAAUUUUAUUUUAAUAAUUUCAGGUUAUACCAAUCUCAGAGUAUGUCUAUACAGUACAUGACAAGGAUAAACAUUUUAUUGUUUGCCUUAAGAAAAAAAAUUCUUGCCAUGCAUUCCAAUAGGACGAGAUACCGUGUUUGCAUGUUUAUGAAGUACUUGAUAGCAAGAAUUUUCAAAAGGGAUCAUAUUACUCUAACCUAUACAAAUCAAAAACUGUGUCAAGAACGUAUGAUCUUCCCAUUUAUCCUAUACCACACAAAUAUGAUUGAGUGAUUCCACAGGAGAUAUUGGAGGAGAUAGUUUUGCCCCCAAAAUACAAGCGACCCCCUGAAAGACCUGCAAAGAAGGAUUGUGAAAAGUCAGAAAGAGAUAUGUUCGAGAAGAAAAACAAAAAUUAUUAUAGUUCAUGUGGAUUUAAAGGUCACAAUUGGUGUUCAUGUAGGAAAUAUAAUAAAUGAUAAGUUUACAGAUGUAUUCAGUUCAAAAGCAAUUGUUUUUUUUAUUGAUUAUUUUAUGAUUCUAAAUUUUGAUACAAACUUUUGAUGAUGUUGACUUUGUUGUAGUUAAAUUGCUGCAAAUGUUAUCAUCAUGAAUAUAUUUUAUAGGACAUAUACCAUUAUUUAUUUAUACGUAAAAGAGUGUACACCAUACAAGUCAAUUUUUUGGUAUGAAAAAUACAUAUGAGAUUCUAAUAAAAACGUAUACCGAUCUAUAAAAACUAAAAAUAAGUUAACAUAUAUUUAUGUAAUAAUUAAAAUUACAUUUAAUGACUUAUCAAUUACUUAAUUAGAACUUGAAAUUCAUUUAUUUUUAAAAAAAAAAAAAACAUAUGCAUUAAUCAUAAAUAAAUAUGCAUUAUUCAUAGAUAUAUACGAAUAACUAUGUAUGUAUAAAUCAUAAAUACAUAUGCUUCUUAAAAAUACACAGACUUAUGCAAAACAAUACAACAACUUUGUAUUGUUCGAAAGUAUAUGUGCAUAACUGGAAAAAAUAUAUAUGCAUUACUCAAAAUGCAUAUGCAUUAUAAAAAAAUACAUAUUCAUACAAUGAAAAAUAUUAUAUGCAACCUCAACUUACCUUAUAUGUAUUACAAAAAAAUACAUAUGCAUACAAUGAAAAAUAUAAAUACACUAUUGAAAAAUACAUAUGAUGACUGAAACAUAUAUAUUCAUUACUGAAAAUUAUACUUAAAACUGAAAAUCACAUAUUCAUACCAAAAUAUGUGUAACUAACAAUAACAUAAAGUAAGAUCGAACAAUUCUAUUUUAGAAGCAUAACGAUCAAAAAUCUAACAAUCACAUAAAAAAAUAUUAAGAUAUCAUCUUUCAACUAUAUCAUAGUCCUCCUAAAGUUCAAUGUUGCCAAAUACAACAAAUACAAAUAAACUUCAAAUAUCAUGCACUUUAGUAUCUUCUAUUAGCCCAAUAUCUUUAGGAGGCCUCAUUGGUGUUUCAUCAUCACUUUCAGCCUUCCCAUCUUCUUUCCUCGAAGCAUAAUUUCACAACAUUAAAAUAGAUCUCGUGCGAAGAAGAUCUGGAUCAAAGUCAAUAGUUGAAACACAGUCAUCAAAAGUAAGGCACUUAGCAUAUGUCACCAUAUAUAAAAACUUAGAACAAACAAAUACAAAAUACAUAUCUAACCCCUAGCAAAUGCAUUAUAUAUAAUUACAACAUACAAAAUACGUAUCUUAAAAAUAACAAAUACAUAUCUCCACACUACAAUUCCAUAUCUUCACAAUAACUCUCACAUAAGCAGAUAAUUUAUCAAAUGUAUAUAUAAAAUACAUAUAUGAUCAUACAGUCCAAAAAAAAUUAAAAUACAAAUGCAUAAAAUUUUAUGAAUACAUGAAUGGUCUAAAAUUUAAAUUACCAAGAAAAGAAUACAACUGAACAUCAAAUACAAAUCUUCUCAAUAACUAAUACAGAUAUCCUACACAUAUCUUAAAUACAAAAUACAUAUAUUAAAUAUGUUAUACAUAACAAAACAAAUCUUAUCAGUAACAAACCUAAAUACAAAAUACAUAUCUUAAAUAUAUAACAGAUACAUAUCAUCCCAUUAGCAACUGCNNNNNNNNNNNNNNNNNNNNNNNNNNNNNNNNNNNNNNNNNNNNNNNNNNNNNNNNNNNNNNNNNNNNNNNNNNNNCAGAAAUUAUAAAAUUUUACAAAUAGAAAAAUACCUCUUCCACUUUCUCUUCUUCAGAUUCAUAAUCAGAUAAAAAAACAAGACUUGAAAUUUGACAAGAUUCUCCUUUUUCAUCCGACUUUCUCUUUUUCACCAAUUUUUAAAUUUUUGUGAGUUUUGGGGAUGAAGAUUUUCUCAAUGCUUUUCGUUUCAUGAUUUCCACAAUCUUUUUCGGAUCGUUACGCUGAUUCGAUCUCACCUCUACUUUGCUAACANNNNNNNNNNNNNNNNNNNNNNNNNNNNNNNNNNNNNNNNNNNNNNNNNNNNNNNNNNNNNNNNNNNNNNNNNNNNNNNNNNNNNNNNNNNNNNNNNNNNNNNNNNNNNNNNNNNNNNNNNNNNNNNNNNNNNNNNNNNNNNNNNNNNNNNNNNNNNNNNNNNNNNNNNNNNNNNNNNNNNNNNNNNNNNNNNNNNNNNNNNNNNNNNNNNNNNNNNNNNNNNNNNNNNNNNNNNNNNNNNNNNNNNNNNNNNNNNNNNNNNNNNNNNNNNNNNNNNNNNNNNNNNNNNNNNNNNNNNNNNNNNNNNNNNNNNNNNNNNNNNNNNNNNNNNNNNNNNNNNNNNNNNNNNNNNNNNNNNNNNNNNNNNNNNNNAAAAGGAUAAAUUGCUUGAAAAUAGGUAAAGGAAAAGCAAUUGGUGGAAUUCACAUGCUUAACUCUAGAAAAGUCAAAAUAUUGCUAGUUUUGACAUAAGUUGUAAUUUUGAGAAAGUGUUGUUAUUAAUUGUAAUUAACAUCUUAAGGUUGUUAGCUUCUGUAAUUUAUCUUUUAAUAAUGUACUAAAAUUUGGUAACCUUAUACAUGAAAUUAUAUUGUAUGGAGAUAUCGUAACAUUGAAUUGGUUGAUCCAUACAAACGCUUCACUACAUGUAUAUUAAUUACUAUAGCAUAAGACGAUACAAUGAUAGCUGCAAAAGAAAAAAUUCUCACGAAAAUAUUGUACGAUGAUAUAGAUAUCAUGUCAAAAUAUUUCAUCAUACAUAAGUCUAUAUGUAUGAUGAGUCAUUAUACAUUAGUAUACCAGAUUUUUACACAUUUAAUAAUGUAUAGGAACAAUCAAUACAAUAGUAAUUACAUUAACCGCAGUAACAUAUUAAAAAACGAACUUCUUUAAGAAUCUAUAACAAUCAAAUUUUCCAUAUUUAUUCAACGUAUAAUAUAAUACAAUACAUAUCAGAAAAAAAUAACAAAACUUAACAACUAUAAUACGACAACUGCAAUUUCUAUUAAAAUAUGUAUUAGUGGCACUAUUCUAUGUUCAUAUUGAUUUUUUUGAGAACUGAAGAAAGCACUAGAAGAUGGGUUUUUUUUAACGCAAUUUAACAAAGAAGAAAAUUUAAUGUGAUGUUUAACAUAUAUUUUGAAUUUAAAUUUCACUUAUUAUAUUUAAUAAUACAUCACUAAAUAUUAAGUAAUUAAUGGCGUGAAUUAAGGAACAGGUUGAUAUUAUCAAAUUUAUUUUUACUUAGAUAUAGCCUAUUCAGCUUUAUCAUACAUUCCAGCAAUACAUGAAGGUUGACCAGAUGUAUAAGUAUCUUUUUCAAAACAGGGAGAGAGAAAGGCUGGAGGGAUUUUAUAUAAUUACUUUCAUUUACUAAAGGAUUUACAUAGUUUAUACAAAAAGAUUAAAAGAAAAAUAUUUCUUUACACAUUGUACUAAGAAUUUGUGGGAUCUUGAUUUGUCGUCUACGCUGAGUUAUGAUCAUAUCACACGUAUUUGCGUCAGUAUAUAUUGACCCAAACUAGCUUUUAAACCAUUUAAUUGCACCACCUAUCUUUGGACUUGGUUUCAAUUGUUGUUCUUCAAAUGAUGGUCUUCUAUGAUCGCGGUAUCCGAACCAAUUUUCACGCAACUCGCUAAUCGAACUUAUAUCUAGUGAGACAUGCAUUCUUUAAGAGCACGAGACAUAAUUUGUGAGUUAUCAUAAUGUGAAAAUAUAAACUUAUGCCCUACUAAAAAGUUAAUUUGACUUAACGGGCAAAGUUUUUUAUUUUUUUGAUUAAGAAAAAUCGUUCCUAAACAGCAGCCGAGCAAGCGAUGACGACAUGAGGCACCUCUUGGUUCUUGCCUUACUUCACGGGCAAAGUUUUAGACCAGCACAAAAUAAGGGCAAAAGCAAAUGACUCGCCUUACCCAGAUUGACACCCCUAACAAAUAGAAUUCAUAGGUCCAAUAAUUGAUUUCAUAAACUUUAACAAAUUUAACUUCUAUCAUCACUUUCCAGUAAUUGGUUAAUCAUUUUGCCAAUGCGGGGAAUAUUUCCAUUAAUCUUCAAGAAUCCAUAGAGUCAUUACU